UUCGGAAUUACUGGGCGUAAAGCGCACGUAGGCGGCUUUGUAAGUUAGAGGUGAAAGCCCGGGGCUCAACUCCGGAAUUGCCUUUAAGACUGCAUCGCUAGAAUUGUGGAGAGGUAAGUGGAAUUCCGAGUGUAGAGGUGAAAUUCGUAGAUAUUCGGAAGAACACCAGUGGCGAAGGCGACUUACUGGACACAUAUUGACGCUGAGGUGCGAAAGCGUGGGGAGCAAACAGG
This 233-nucleotide ribosomal RNA is filed under the name uncultured bacterium. Its description in RNAcentral is "partial 16S ribosomal RNA". It matches the Rfam family "Bacterial small subunit ribosomal RNA", at positions 544 to 776 of the family's 1533-position model. The record is from RNAcentral.